CUACAGUUGCCAUAGCCAAACGUCACUUUGGACCGAAAGUUUUCAAACGGCUCCUUUGAGGAAGACAUGAGGGCCGAAAUGUUGUCGUUUCUCUCAUAGCAGUGUACAAUUUAGCCAGCUGUUUUUAAAUAGAGCGUUUUGUGGACUGUUCACAGUCCCUGGUCUAAAGAUGGAAGGCUUGGAAAUGUCCGCUAUGAUACCUGCACUGCAGGAGCUAGCGAGAUGUCGCUGUUUCUCUCUCUGUCGCUGUUUCUUCUCGCCCAGUGUAUUGUGUGUGUGUGUGUGUGUGUGUGUGUGUGUGUGUGUGUGUGUGUGUGUGUGUGUUUCAGUGUCGUUGGAGCUGUCUAAGAGGUCCAGUUCAGAGCCAGCGUGUGUGAUGCUGUUAGACUUUGUUCAGCACAUUAUAAAGUCUUCCUCACUGAUGUUUGUCAACCCUGCCUGUCAGCUGGCCCACUUCAGACACACAGCAGAGCAGCACCGAGUUCAGUAGGUGGGUUGUCGGCAGGCUGCUGCGAGUCGCAGCAUCUCCAAGCUGUGAUGUCAUCCAUGGGCGUGUCUCGGCCGUUCUCUGCUCCUUACUGCACGCACUCAGACCGCGAGCACCAAUCACCUUCGACAUCAUCGCCAUAGAGAUGCUUGGAUUGGCCCAGGACCUCAGCAAUCUGCUCUACACACACACACACACACACACACACACACACACUCACACACCCCGGAAACACAUACACACUGUACAAACACACACACCUUGUGGCCGGAAACCCUGCAGUCUUUCUCUGUCUCUCUCACCCCUUAUCUCACCCCUCCUCCUCCCCUCGCCUGCCUCCUUGGAAACCCUGGUUGCAGUGACAGUGAACGCUCUGACCGACGCCCUCAGGGGAUUGGCCAGCCGCAGGGAGAUGGGGGUGGCUUGGAGGCGGGCUGUUUGGUCUUGGCCUAUGGGAAUGCUCGGUUAAGAAAGGUUGCUAUGGUGAUGCUGAGGCAAUUGGCGGAGAUUGUUGUGUUCCCGGAGAGGCGGAGUCAGGAGUUUUUUACAGCGUACCUGACGCUGCUGGACACACACACACCUGAGCCAGAGACAUAUGGGGGAGAGCUGCUGAAGCUGACGCAGUGUGUGUUUGGAUCUGCACACACACCUGCUCACACACACACACACACGUUUUGAGCGUACCCACCUGGCCCAGCUGUUGGAACAUGUGUGUGUUCUGGAAUCAGAGGUCAGCCAAUCGCUGAGCUUUGUCUUUAACUUCCUGUUGUGCGUUCCACCGGGAUACGAGAGCGCCCCGUCGCUACAGAGACAGAGAGUUACUGAUGUCUGCAGAACCCUCACACACUCCAUCGGGAUGGAGAAACAGUCUGAGGGGUUUCUUUACACUGCCCUGAAGGCUGAGGUUGCCGUGGUGAUGCAAGAGAGGGAGGAUGGAGAAACGGCUGCUAAGCGACCCUGUCUACCCAUCACCCCCCUGGCCAGCAAGACCCCCUAAACUCCCCCGAUGGAGGUGGACAUGCGUGUGUGUAGUGAGGUGUGAGCGGCAGGCUGGAUGACCUUCUGGCCUCUGGUGAACUGUGACCUUGACCCGACGACCCCUGAGCCUGACGCUGACCCUCAUAUGACCCUGAGAGCUCUGGAGGGACUCGCUCUCAUCCUGCACCUGGUAUCACACACACAUACCCAGAAGGUAACACACACACACACACCAGGUAUCACACACCCCACAUUAUCUCUCACACAGAUCUUUCUAUCUCUCUCUCUCUGUCCUCCAGCUCCUCCUCUCCUGUGGCUGUCUGUCUCCACUCUGGGCAGGGCUUUGGAAACCUGUCAAUCACUACUGGGCGGGGCUAAGUCUACCGCUGACCACGCCCGUAUACAGUCUGCCAUCCAGCUGGCUGUCAGAAUACUGGACUCCAUCAUCUACCUAACAAGUAAAGGGUUGAGGAAGUUCAUUCUUCCUAAGACUGCAUGGUUUGAGGAGAAGUUGAAGGUCCAUAAGGUCCUCCUGUGUGCCAGACACCCCCCUGUCUUCUAUGAAUGGUUCCUCCGAACCUUCCCUGACCCCACCACAUGGUACAGCAGCAGGUCAGCCUACUGUCUCUCCACUGCGGUGAUGUCCGUGGUGGGCUACAUCCUGGGUCUUGGAGACCGCCAUGGAGAGAACAUCCUGUUUGACUCAUUCACCGGGGAGUGUGUUCACGUCCACUUCAACAAGGGUGAGACGUUUGAUGUUCCGGAAGUGGUUCAGAACCACCUGUGAAGUCACACUACGCCUGAUGAGAGACCAGAGAGAACCGCUCAUGAGAGCCUCCUCAGAUCAACAUGUGCCAAACUAGCCCACCAGUGUACUGAAGACGUUUCUCCAUGACCCUCUGGUAGAGUGGAGUGAACCCAAAGGCCGAUCCAAGACACAGGCCAGUGAGACUGGAGAGAUAGUCAACGAGAAGGCCAAGACCCAUGUGUGUGAGACUGAUCAGCGUUUGCAGGGCGUGAUAAAGAGUCGUCACAAGGUGUUGGGUCUGCCUCUGUCUAUAGAGGGACACGUCCACUACCUCAUACAGGAGGCUACUGACGACAAACUACUGUGUCAGAUGUACCUGGGCUGGGGACCUUAUCUGUAAUACACACUGCUUCUCUGAGAAACUCUUUACAAAUUCAAUAUUUUACUUGUUCUGUUAUCCAUGAAGUUCUUUUUCAUGUUUUUGUAAAUCCGGAGUAAUUGUUAUGUUUUUCAUGGGGCAGUUGCAUAUUUGACCAUAAUAAAAAUAAAAAGUUGUAUUUUUUUAAA
Molecule: non-coding RNA, 2780 nt
Organism: Salmo salar (Atlantic salmon)
Lineage: Eukaryota; Metazoa; Chordata; Actinopteri; Salmoniformes; Salmonidae
Source: RefSeq, a predicted model, not a curated record